GGUUUUGUGGAAACUCUGAGUUUGUUAACCCCGGAAUGAGGAAAACUCAGACUUUUCGGUUUCAGAAAGCGGGGUUACUUAAACCCGUAAAGCGGGGUAAAUUUAAGCCCGUUUCAAGAAGCGAGGUAACCGAAACUCAGAGUCAGUUACUAUGGCAACUUACUCUGUGAACCUAAUCUGGUCGCGAGCAGGGUUUAUUUGGGAAACCCAGAGUUUCCUUCGGUCUCCGCACCUUUUUAAAGUGAACAGUGUUUAAAUACCUCGUUUAAUCUUUCAUUUCAUUCAUAGAUUUCACCUGUUUCCUUCGCGCAGAGACCAAAAUGUCCGUUUCUAGAGGAUCCUGUAGAUGAGGACGCUGUAUUAAUUCACACGACGUUGAAUUUACGCCGCGAGAGGAUUUUAACGCCACAAGUUAAUUUUCUGUCAUAUCGCCGUGCAUAUUUAUUUUAGCGGUACCGUUUUUAUCGAGACUCCAUACAUACAUUAAUAAUCUUAUUCACCCAUACGUCAAACACAUCAUCCAUCGUGGCCGUGCUUUUACAUCCGAACAGAUUCUUUGUGUUGCGUUACGUUUUUUUUGCAAACGGUAGUUUUCUUUAUAACAUUGGAGAUGCUGAGCACAUUAGUAAAGCCACUGUAUGUAGAAAAGUUCGACCUCAAGCGCUUUCCUUGACACAAACUCCUUAAAGCCAUUAAAGAGGAGUUUCACAGGAUUGCAGGAGAGAUUGACAGCUUUCUGCUGGAGAUAGGGGUUACCCAUGAAGGCGCACACUACUGACGCCUGACCCAGAACCUGAAGCAGGCCCCCAGCAGCGCUUUAAUGUGGCACUGCAGAACAAGAGCCCGGGUGGAAAUGACCAUAGGCCUGUUGAAAGCACGACUUCAGUGUCUACGUCACCUCAGGGAAACACCUGAGAGGCCUGUGACAUUAAUGUGACAUGUGUUGUUCUCCACAUUAUUGCAAUUAUUAGAGAGGAGCAACACCCUGCCCUACGAAUACAAGACCCCGAGGAAGACUCCUUCCAUUACAGUAAUCUGCAGAGUGGAUGGACAGAUUUGCUUUAAUGUCUUAAUCAACCAUCACCACCACCACCAAUAAAAGAAACUGAACAGAUGUAAAUCAUAAUUUAUUUGUUUUUUUUUUCAUUUCCUACAAAUACAAAGGUAAAUGUUAGAUUUUAUGAUUCUUCCAAUAAUUCAUACAAUUCACCUUUAACUAUACACUCAUCUCCAGCUUUUGUUUGGGAAUUUCAAUUUCUAGAUCUGGCUUCUCAAUCUUGUGAUACAAGUAUACCAUUUCCUUGAGAUUUAGUUUAUACAACUCAAUAACCGGUAACUUAAAAUACAGAAGAUUUAGAGUUACAUGACAUCUUGACAUGACAUGUUCCUCAUUACUCUUACAGAAUUGAACUCUGGCAUUUACUGAACAUCACUGAACCGUGUGCAUCUGUGCAGCAAAUGUGACUGACCUCCUCCUGCGAGGUGCAGGUCCUCCACCAGUUGUUCUAGCCUCUGCCUUCUUUCUGUUGGCUGAGUAGAAGUCAAAUGUUUAACUGUG
Long non-coding RNA from Betta splendens (Siamese fighting fish), 1558 nucleotides. RefSeq lists it as uncharacterized. NCBI's taxonomy places the organism in Eukaryota, Metazoa, Chordata, Actinopteri, Anabantiformes, Osphronemidae. The record is from RefSeq and is a predicted model, not a curated record. The transcript has 2 exons.